AUGUUGGGGUACUAUCAUAUUGCCAACAAGAUGUUUGAUAGUGAGGAUGAAGGUUAUAUAUUCUAUAACAAAUAUGGUCUUGAGAAAGGUUAUAGUGUCCAGAGAAGCUAUGUUGAGUGGGAUGGAUAUAUUAAGAUGGAUAUAUUAAGGAAAAUUGUGUGUAGUCGUGAAGGGGUUCAUGAAGAGAAGCACAUGAAGAGGAAGAUGGAAGAUAGAAAGAGGAGGCCACGGAUUAUAACUCAUGUCGGGUGUAAAGCUAAAUUGGUGAUUGCAAGACAAGAGGAAACAUGUCACUGGUUUGUGAAGGAUUUCAUCGAUGAACACAACCAUCCUCUAGCCCCACGGGGUCUUUCGUGUCUUUUGAGUUCACACAAAAGAAUUAGCGAUGAGAAGAAAGCGGACAUUGCAGACAUGGAAAAAUCUUGGAUCAGGAAACACCAUAUUAUGGAUAUUUUGUGCAUGCAAUAUGGUGGGUAUGAUGAGGUUGGAUGCACGAUGAGGGACAUUUAGAAUUGCUGCCAUGCUAACAAGAAGGAAUCAAUUGCUUUCGGUGAUGCUCAAACGAUAAUCAAUCACAUGGUGGCGCGGCGAGAGCAAGAUUCAGAUUUUUUUUUCUUGAGCUAGUUGGUUGAUGAUGUUGGCCAUCUAAAGGGACUUUUCUGGCGUGAUAGUCAAUCCUGACUUGAAUACGAGGUUUUUGGAGACAUCAUUGUCUUUGAUAGCACAUAUAGAACCAAUAAGUACAAUCUACCAUUUAUGUCGUUGAGUCACCACCGCGGCACUGUUAUUUUUGGAUGUGGUAUCAUUUCUCAUGAAACAAGCCAGGCAUACGAGUGGAUGUUACAGACCUCUUCUGAUGCCAUGGGACAGAAGCAUCUGAUAUCUGUGAUCACGGAUGGAGACCUUGCACAGAGAGCAAUCAGGUUGGUGUGGCCUGACUCAAACCAUAGGCUGUGUAUAUGGCACAUUCAGCAGAACAUUGCACGUCAUUUGCAUGAUGAGGUAAAGGAGGAAUUCAGAUCUUCCAUAUAUGAUACAUCUUCCAUUGAAGAGCAUGAGAGAAAAUGGUUACAAUUCUUACAACAGAAUAAAGUAACAACUAAGGAGUCCUGGCUGCAUCAGAUGUAUAAGAUGAGAAAGUUGUGGUGUGCUCCAUAUCUUGAGGGGCGUCGUUUCCUAGGAUUGAGCGGCAAUCAGCAGAGUGAGAGCUUAAACUCGAUGCUACAUACACAUCUUGAGGCUAAGAUGGCGUUGUUUCAAUUGCCAUCAACAUGGAUACAUCAACAACAUCUCGAAAUACUUGGAUCUGUGUGUUACUCCUGUUAG
Molecule: ribosomal RNA, 1326 nt
Filed under: Triticum aestivum (bread wheat)
Lineage: Eukaryota; Viridiplantae; Streptophyta; Magnoliopsida; Poales; Poaceae
Description: partial small subunit ribosomal RNA
Source: RNAcentral